GUUGUUUUUUUUUUCUUUUAACUAAAUUUUCUUGGACGAAUUCUAGGAGUACCGAGUUUUACGCAACAAGCCAACGUACUUUGAACAGGUAUUGUUCAACGCCGAUCAGAUUGUAAGGACUGAUCUCUCCCCAUUGUUCCUCCCACAUGUCCUACAAUGAUUGAAAAUUAUGUAAAGCUUCUGGCGACAAGUGGCCCAAAUUGGCGAAUCGUUCUCCCAGGAGCAUGAAGUCCUCGUAACUUAUCACGCCGUCCUUAUUUAC
Long non-coding RNA from Orussus abietinus, 262 nucleotides. RefSeq lists it as uncharacterized. The record is from RefSeq and is a predicted model, not a curated record. Lineage: Eukaryota; Metazoa; Arthropoda; Insecta; Hymenoptera; Orussidae. The transcript is spliced from 3 exons.